CACACAGCUAUCGCCUUCUCUCCUGCUAAAUCCCUGCUUCCAACCUAACCACAAAUCACUGUCAUCCAGAGCGGCGAGGAAAGCAAACAGCUCACUCCUCUGCUAGUAAGCUUCUGUUUCAUUUAUUUAUAUAUUUACUUAUUUAUUUAUACUAAAGUCAUCCUGUCAGUUCUCUCGUCUUUUUGCCUGGCCCGUGUCACAAAGCCAUCAAGCCCAGCUGGCAGGCACGGCCAUGAAGAUGAGGACCCUUAACAGAAACACUGGACAUGCCAUCCAUCCCCUGCCUCUUGUGAGUUUACACAGAGGGCACCGGAAUUCAGGCAUGAAGCGCUGCUGAGGAAACUCUCUCUCAGGAACUGAAGUUACCUGGAACUGGGAGAAAAUGCUCUCCAUUCUUCAACUGUGCUGGAAGCUUUGCCCCUUUAAAAUUCAAGCAAAGUACAUUUUUUUUUUAUCUAAAUGAUUUUUUAUCUUCUUUCUAUGGCUGGUACAGGCACGUCCAUUUAAACCACCCUCCAAGUUCAACAUCACUCCUCACUGUCCUGACAAGAAAGCUGCUGCAGCUGGAAGCUCACUCGUCAGGUCCCACAUCCCAGGACGAUGGGGUAAUACUAAAAAUUAGAAAUUCUCUUCAGGAGAGAUUUCAGACCUUUCCCCCUCCCCUCUUCCUACAGGGACUCUAAGAAAUCUGUACUGCAAAACACCUUAUCUAAGACUGUGUCAACUCAGCAGAAUUGCAUGAGACCACAGAACUUUUUUGCUGAUUACUCUGUAAAAGCGUCACUUCUCCUCGGUUCCCAAAGGUAAUUAGUCAACAGAAGAGUGGUUUUUAAAUAUAUUUUUUUCUGCAUGGCUGCCGAACCAGUUGCACUCUCUCUCUGCUUUGAAGUCUGUUCCUGGAGACUCGCAGGAGUACAUUUUUAGAGCUCUUCCCUGAGCGGUGGCUGUUCACGCUCAGCGACUUGGGUAGCCUGAUGAAAAACAUCUACCUGCUCCACAGCAAUUCCUUGAGAAGUUCUCAUCCUCCUCUUAGUCAAUAUUCAGAUCUUAAGCCGGUAUAAAAUUGGGCACUUGAGUGAACCACAGAGCUGCACGAAUUUAAAAGCUGAAGAUCUUA
RNAcentral lists this long non-coding RNA (1117 nucleotides) under Anas platyrhynchos platyrhynchos (common mallard). Its description in RNAcentral is "lncRNA (ENSAPLG00000018811.1)". The record is from RNAcentral. Lineage: Eukaryota; Metazoa; Chordata; Aves; Anseriformes; Anatidae.